ACCCCCAUGUUGCUGCUUCUUCUAUUUUCUUCUUUCUUUCCUCUAUCUUUUUCUUCUUAUGAGGUGUUACUUCUUCUUAAUUUAGAUUUCCUAUGUUCUUUACAGUGUGCUUAACUCAAACUCUUCUUAGUUGACCCAAAAAAAAUCGUGCUCUUAUUUCCUCUUAUGUUCUUGACAUGCCCUGAUCCCAAUGUCCGAGGGAUAUCGGGAUGGCCACGUGUUGGCCGACACCCGAGGUGAUGCAAGCCAUUUAAUGAAUGCAUAUGCCGAGAACAUGUGAAACAUGCAUAUAAAUUUUCGCGCGUAACUACGCAAGGUAAUAUUCAAAUAUAAGUCUUACAAAAUACCAUAAUAGUAUUCAACUGCCAAUAAUGAAUAUAAUGAUAAUGCAUGACAUGUUCAAAGCAUACAACUAAUAAGCGGAAAGUAAAGUAGAAAGGUGCUAUUACAAUAGAUGUCAAAGCAGGGAGGAUGAUAUGAUAUCACUGGUAAGGGAAUGCCUCGUAGUUUGGAUCGUAUGCCUUGUUCCUAUGUCCUGAGGGAGUGUAAAACAAACAUGAGUGGACCAAGUUAUAUAUAAAUAAUACGGAAACAAUUAUUCAACAUACUAACCCCCAAAGUUUUAUGAAAACUAAUAGUAUAAUAGGUGAUAGAUUUGCCGAAACCCCUAGCAUGCCAUAAAACCUUUCAUAAAACAUAUCUUAUAUAUAAUGUGCUAACUAGUGGUAUUAGUAUCACCCAUAUGCACAAAACAGUGCCCUACACACACCUUCCCGAAGGCAAUAUAAGUAUCAUCUCCCAUACACACAAAACAAUGCCCUACACAUGCCCGCCCGAUGGCAAUAUAAGUAUCAUCUCCCAUACGCACAUAAUAGUGCCUUACACACGCUAGCCCGAAGGCAAUAUAAGUAUCAUCGCCCGUAGGUAGAAUAGUGACCACUAGAUAAGCACAAAACGUUGAAUAUAAUCUUUCCAACUCAAAAACAUCUUCAUAGUAUAUAGUCAUCCAUCAUAUAUAUUAUAAAGAAGUGUAAAAAUAUUUUCAUAAAUAGUAUAUAGUCAUCCAUCAUAUAUACUACAAAGAACAAUAGUUCGAUAAAGUAUGGUAUUCCAAAAUAUUCUCAGUAAAGCAUGAUAAUCAUAUAAUGUAAAUUCAAUUUACUUAUAAAACAUUACCAUUAAAUCAUGCUUUUCAUGUAUGCAUUUCUACUAUUAAAACAUGCAUUUUAGAAGGGGUCCACUCAUAGAUACUUCGUCGUC
RNAcentral lists this long non-coding RNA (1260 nucleotides) under Malus domestica (apple). RNAcentral's name for it is "long non-coding RNA (MDOM_LNC009608)". The record is from RNAcentral. Lineage: Eukaryota; Viridiplantae; Streptophyta; Magnoliopsida; Rosales; Rosaceae.